UGAACGCCCCAGGGUCGGUGACACCUCCAUGGGCUGUCCAUUCCAGUGCCUGAUCACCCCUUCUGAAAAGUAAUACUUCCUAAUGUCCAGCUUGAAUCUCCCCUGCAGAACUGAAGUUUGAUUGGAAUAGAAUAGCACUGUUUUGUGGUCUUAAAUCUGACACGUGUUUUCUCCUUGGGCUUCAGGUACAGAUAUUGAUUAAUAAUGACUUUGGAGAAGGUUUCACUAUCCAGUCUCCUGAUCAGGAAGGAAGAACAAGAUUUUUGGAGGACUUAAUCAUGAAUGGAGCUGCUGCUGAACCUCCACUUCCAGGAAGCAGGCAGGCUGGGCAGACACGGGAAGCACUGCCUGCAGCAGCACUGGCUGAGCUCCGUGUGCCAGAGGAAGGAAAGCGGCGUCUGGAGGAGCAGGAGGAGGAGAGCCUGCGUGACUCUGCGUGUUCUGCAGGGCCGUUCCUCACAGACUGCCGCUGACAGACGUUUGGGGCACUGCAGAGCCUGUUGGUGCAGAGGAGCCUUCCUCCUCAGUUACUCGCAUCCUACAGCAGUGAAGGACUUCCCUUGCUCUGUAGGAAUGGUUCCUGUGCAACGGCAUGGUCGUCUGCCUGUAAUAGGCAGCUGAAUGAGCAGUGGGACUGCAGCUUCUCUGGCAGUCUUGCAGCUACGUCAGGAAGUAGCAGAUGUGGAUUUGAAAGAAGAACUCAGUUCCUGGGACGUUCCCCUGUUCUUCCCCUAGCUGUCCCCUUGCCCCAGCUCAGAUACCCCUUGCAUUCCUGCAGGUGUCUCUUCCAUCCCCCUGACUGCCCCUUGCUUUCCCCAAGGCUGCCCUUUCCCAUGACACCCAUAAUUCCCUCAGAGUAGCAGUAGCGCCCUCAAUAUUUCCCAUCCAGGACCCCUUUAGCCACCCCACAGCCCCCCACAAAGCCCCAUAGCUGCUCCAGGGCCUAGUA
RNAcentral lists this long non-coding RNA (949 nucleotides) under Phasianus colchicus (ring-necked pheasant). Its description in RNAcentral is "lncRNA (ENSPCLG00000016881.1)". Lineage: Eukaryota; Metazoa; Chordata; Aves; Galliformes; Phasianidae. The record is from RNAcentral.